GUGCUCACUUCUGCAGCACACGUACUAAAAUGGAGUGAUGCAGAGAAGAUUAGCAUGGCACCUGCACAAGGAGGGCAUGCAAAUUCAUGAAUGUUCCAUAUUUUU
This is a small nuclear RNA of Rhinolophus ferrumequinum (greater horseshoe bat), 105 nucleotides long. Lineage: Eukaryota; Metazoa; Chordata; Mammalia; Chiroptera; Rhinolophidae. The record is from Ensembl.